This 19-nucleotide non-coding RNA is filed under the name Arabidopsis thaliana (thale cress). The record is from RNAcentral. Lineage: Eukaryota; Viridiplantae; Streptophyta; Magnoliopsida; Brassicales; Brassicaceae.
CCAUGGGCAGCCCAUUGUC